AGCAGAGACAGCCUCGCUCAGGAACAAAACUGCAGCUCCAAGACAGAACAGUGCCUGGGUUUCUUUGGCAAUAAAAGAACUCAGCUUCUGAGGAGUCCAACCCAGCCACACGGGAGGUCACAUGCUGAAGAACCACCCCAUCUAAGCGCCCAUUUUACAGCUGGAACCACUGAGGUUAUGUGGAUGAGCCGUCUUGGGAGUGGUCUCCCCAGCCCCAGGUGAGCUACCCCAGCUGAUGCCAGCAGAAAUGAGAUGGCCCCUCCAAGCACUGUCCAAAUUGCAGAAUGAUAAGCAAAUAAAUGACUGUCAUGUGAA
Long non-coding RNA from Homo sapiens (human), 315 nucleotides. RefSeq lists it as uncharacterized. The transcript is spliced from 2 exons. The record is from RefSeq and is a predicted model, not a curated record. Lineage: Eukaryota; Metazoa; Chordata; Mammalia; Primates; Hominidae.